CCUACGGGUGGCUGCAGUGAGGAAUAUUGGUCAAUGGACGAGAGUCUGAACCAGCCAAGUAGCGUGAAGGAUGAAGGCCCUAUGGGUUGUAAACUUCUUUUAUAUGGGAAUAAAAUGUGCCACGUGUGGGAGUUUGUAUGUACCAUAUGAAUAAGGAUCGGCUAACUCCGUGCCAGCAGCCGCGGUAAUACGGAGGAUCCGAGCGUUAUCCGGAUUUAUUGGGUUUAAAGGGAGCGUAGGUGGAUUGUUAAGUCAGUGGUUAAAGUUUGCGGCUCCACCGUACACUUGCCGUUGAAACUGGCAGUCUUGAGUACAGUAGAGGUGGGCGGCCUUCGUUGUGUAGCGGU
This 347-nucleotide ribosomal RNA is filed under the name uncultured bacterium. RNAcentral's name for it is "partial 16S ribosomal RNA". It matches the Rfam family "Bacterial small subunit ribosomal RNA", at positions 338 to 682 of the family's 1533-position model. The record is from RNAcentral.